UUUUAAUAAAGAGUUGUCUCUUUCGAAGACGGCGACCCUAAGACUCCUUUCUUUCACUUCCGUCUCCAACAACGUUUUUUCCGUCACAGUCUCCUUCCAUUUGGUCAUCUCCACCCCAAUCACCGUCGUCUCUGUCAGUUCAAGAGGAACCCUAAAUCCGAUUUCACCUCUGUCAAAUCCACCUUUAAAUUGAAGAUAUUGAAUGUUUUGCCACUUUGAUUGAGCUUUACGCCAAUUGGAAGUUUGAAAUUUUAGAGGUAUCUGAUGGGGAUGGGCUGGAGGGAUCUGGUUAUACAGUAUUGUAACAUAUUUCCCACAAGACGUUUUUAAGUUUGCUAUUGGAUACAUCUUAAGUGGAAAGGGCUUGGCUCAACUUGUUUGAGAACAUGACCGCUUUCACAAUAAAAAAGAUUAUGGAAAAGAAGAGAGAGAGAGAGAGAGUCUCAAUAGACACUUGCUCAAAGGAUACUUCACGGUUGGUAGCCAAAAGAAGCUGUUAACAUCUUCCUUGAGAAAGGAAGUUACACAGAAUUGUCUGAGAUCGCAGAGCAAGCCAAGAGACCUGAGAUACUUAGGCUUAAGGAGCUGCACACACUCAAGGGCAUGUGGAAUCAGUAGUGGGUCUAGUUACAAAGUCAUGGUCUCCAGCUUCUUUAUUGGAACUUUCUAGAAUCUGAAUUGGAUUGGAAGCAAACUUGUAAUAGAGGUUGGACUGUUCGAGGAAGAUAGCUUCUGUAGCAAGAAGCAGCUCCAUGCAAAUUCUUGAGCAGACAGAGCUUCUUGAAAUUGGUGUACAUUACAAUGGUUUCUGUAAUGUUCGUGGGUCUAGUUAGUAAGUUGAGAAGCAGUGAUUUAGUUUUUUUCUUUCCAGUCACUUAUGUUUUGUGUUUGGUCCAUUAGUAAACUUUCAAGUAGUGAAAAAAGUUAAAAGCUUGGUAUGUACUCAGUUUUGACAAUGGAAUUUUAUUACAGUUCAAGUUCAGGUUAGUUUUGUGUG
Long non-coding RNA from Raphanus sativus (radish), 997 nucleotides. RefSeq lists it as uncharacterized. The record is from RefSeq and is a predicted model, not a curated record. Lineage: Eukaryota; Viridiplantae; Streptophyta; Magnoliopsida; Brassicales; Brassicaceae. The transcript has 3 exons.